This 406-nucleotide ribosomal RNA is filed under the name uncultured bacterium. Its description in RNAcentral is "partial 16S ribosomal RNA". It matches the Rfam family "Bacterial small subunit ribosomal RNA", at positions 29 to 526 of the family's 1533-position model. The record is from RNAcentral.
AUUGAACGCUGGCGGCAGGCCUAACACAUGCAAGUCGAACGAGUGGCGGACGGGUGAGUAAUGUCUGGGAAACUGCCUGAUGGAGGGGGAUAACUACUGGAAACGGUAGCUAAUACCGCAUACCAUCGGAUGUGCCCAGAUGGGAUUAGCUAGUGGGUGGGGUAAUGGCUCACCUAGGCGACGAUCCCUAGCUGGUCUGAGAGGAUGACCAGCCAAACUGGGACUGAGACACGGUCCAGACUCCCAAGGGAGGCAGCAGGGGGGAAUAUUGCACAAUGGGCGCAAGCCUGAUGCAGCCAUGGCGCGGGUGUGAAGAAGGCCUUCGGGUUGUAAAGCAAUUUCAGCGGGGAGGCGUUACCCGCAGAAGAAGCAACGGCUAACUCCGUGCCAGCAGCCGCGGUAAUUC